GGGGCGAUAGCAUAAUGGCUAAUGCGGUGACCUGAAAAUUCUCUCAUAAGGGUUCGAUUCCCUUUCGCUCCACUA
This 75-nucleotide transfer RNA is filed under the name Taibaiella sp. KBW10. RNAcentral's name for it is "tRNA-Phe". It matches the Rfam family "tRNA". Rfam says of the family: Transfer RNA (tRNA) molecules are approximately 80 nucleotides in length. Their secondary structure includes four short double-helical elements and three loops (D, anti-codon, and T loops). Further hydrogen bonds mediate the characteristic L-shaped molecular structure. tRNAs have two regions of fundamental functional importance: the anti-codon, which is responsible for specific mRNA codon recognition, and the 3' end, to which the tRNAs corresponding amino acid is attached (by aminoacyl-tRNA synthetases). tRNAs cope with the degeneracy of the genetic code in two manners: having more than one tRNA (with a specific anti-codon) for a particular amino acid; and 'wobble' base-pairing, i.e. permitting non-standard base-pairing at the 3rd anti-codon position. Lineage: Bacteria; Pseudomonadati; Bacteroidota; Chitinophagia; Chitinophagales; Chitinophagaceae. The record is from RNAcentral.